UGGCGGACGGGUGAGUAAUGUCUGGGGAUCUGCCCGAUAGAGGGGGAUAACCACUGGAAACGGUGGCUAAUACCGCAUAACGUCGCAAGACCAAAGAGGGGGACCUUCGGGCCUCUCACUAUCGGAUGAACCCAGAUGGGAUUAGCUAGUAGGCGGGGUAACGGCCCACCUAGGCGACGAUCCCUAGCUGGUCUGAGAGGAUGACCAGCCACACUGGAACUGAGACACGGUCCAGACUCCUACGGGAGGCAGCAGUGGGGAAUAUUGCACAAUGGGCGCAAGCCUGAUGCAGCCAUGCCGCGUGUAUGAAGAAGGCCUUCGGGUUGUAAAGUACUUUCAGCGGGGAGGAAGGCAGUGAGGUUAAUAACCUUACUGAUUGACGUUACCCGCAGAAGAAGCACCGGCUAACUCCGUGCCAGCAGCCGCGGUAAUACGGAGGGUGCAAGCGUUAAUCGGAAUUACUGGGCGUAAAGCGCACGCAGGCGGUCUGUUAAGUCAGAUGUGAAAUCCCCGGGCUUAACCUGGGAACUGCAUUUGAAACUGGCAGGCUUGAGUCUCGUAGAGGGGGGUAGAAUUCCAGGUGUAGCGGUGAAAUGCGUAGAGAUCUGGAGGAAUACCGGUGGCGAAGGCGGCCCCCUGGACGAAGACUGACGCUCAGGUGCGAA
Molecule: ribosomal RNA, 665 nt
Filed under: Pantoea sp.
Lineage: Bacteria; Pseudomonadati; Pseudomonadota; Gammaproteobacteria; Enterobacterales; Erwiniaceae
Description: bacterial SSU rRNA
Rfam family: Bacterial small subunit ribosomal RNA
Source: RNAcentral